CCUGACUGUGCUAAGGUAGCGUAAUCAGUUGGCUUUUAAAUGGAGUCGAGUAUGAAUGGGUCUACGGAAACAAGCUGUCUCUUUAUGGUUUUAUUGAAGUUUCUUUAAGGGUGCAAAGUCCCUUGAUUAGAAAAAAGACGAGAAGACCCUUAGAGUUUUUAUUUAAGGUAAGAAUUUAUCUAAGUUUUUGCUGGGGCGGCAAAGAGACAAAUAGUUAACUCUCUUCCUAUUAUUUUUAGAAGACGAUAAUGUUAAGAAUCAUUAAACUACCUUAGGGAUAACAGCAUAAUUAAAUUUUAGUUUGUGACCUCGAUGUUGGACUAGGAAAGUUUUUGACCAGCAGUCAAAAAUCGCGGUUCUGUUCGAACUCA
This 371-nucleotide ribosomal RNA is filed under the name Peronia willani. RNAcentral describes it as "partial large subunit ribosomal RNA". It matches the Rfam family "Archaeal large subunit ribosomal RNA", at positions 2018 to 2658 of the family's 2987-position model. Lineage: Eukaryota; Metazoa; Mollusca; Gastropoda; Systellommatophora; Onchidiidae. The record is from RNAcentral.